GACCCUAUAGUGAAGCGGUGAUCACGCUACCCUGUCACGGUAGUAUCACGGGUUCAAAUCCCGUUAGGGUCG
RNAcentral lists this transfer RNA (72 nucleotides) under Synechococcus phage S-CREM1. It matches the Rfam family "tRNA". From Rfam's summary of the family: Transfer RNA (tRNA) molecules are approximately 80 nucleotides in length. Their secondary structure includes four short double-helical elements and three loops (D, anti-codon, and T loops). Further hydrogen bonds mediate the characteristic L-shaped molecular structure. tRNAs have two regions of fundamental functional importance: the anti-codon, which is responsible for specific mRNA codon recognition, and the 3' end, to which the tRNAs corresponding amino acid is attached (by aminoacyl-tRNA synthetases). tRNAs cope with the degeneracy of the genetic code in two manners: having more than one tRNA (with a specific anti-codon) for a particular amino acid; and 'wobble' base-pairing, i.e. permitting non-standard base-pairing at the 3rd anti-codon position. The record is from Rfam by way of RNAcentral. Lineage: Duplodnaviria; Heunggongvirae; Uroviricota; Caudoviricetes; Pantevenvirales; Kyanoviridae.